Molecule: ribosomal RNA, 433 nt
Filed under: uncultured bacterium
Lineage: Bacteria
Description: partial 16S ribosomal RNA
Rfam family: Bacterial small subunit ribosomal RNA
Source: RNAcentral
AACGAACGCUGGCGGCAUGCCUAACACAUGCAAGUCGAACGAGACCUUCGGGUCUAGUGGCGCACGGGUGCGUAACGCGUGGGAACCUGCCCUUAGGUUCGGAAUAACUCCCCGAAAGGGGUGCUAAUACCGGAUAAUGUCUUCGGACCAAAGAUUUAUCGCCUUUGGAUGGGCCCGCGUUGGAUUAGCUAGUUGGUAGGGUAAAAGCCUACCAAGGCGACGAUCCAUAGCUGGUCUGAGAGGAUGAUCAGCCACACUGGGACUGUGACACGGCCCAGACUCCUACGGGAGGCAGCAGUGGGGAAUAUUGGACAAUGGGCGAAAGCCUGAUCCAGCAAUGCCGCGUGAGUGCUGAAGGCAUUAGGGUUGUAAAGCUCUUUUACCCGGGAUGAUAAUGACAGUACCGGGAGAAUAAGCUCCGGCUAACUCCGUG